UAAACCGAGAAGAGUUGCUUUUUGUUCUUGAAUAGAUAAUACUUCAAUGUGUAUUCAAAACUUGAACUCGUGGUUUGCGACACAAUGAGUUAUUUGCGCUCUGUACACCACAUGAAAUCGUACUCCUGAAGUUCUUCACCUUGCCACUAACCCACCAGAGGACCGGUUGAGGGAUUUUGUCCAGUUAGCGACCCAAGACUAAAUACGUGCACACUCUCUCCAGUAUUAAAUGUCUGCGAAAAUGACGAAGACUGCCCGGGGACCAAAAAGUGUUGUGAUAAUGGAUGUUCCAAAGUUUGUGCUGUUGCUCUACCACGGCCGCCUUUAAAACAUAUACCAAACGAACGAAGACGACCCGUAGUUUUUGGAUAGAUGUUACUUGAGCAUGGUCAUUUUUAUUGGAAGCUACAAAUAAUGAACGUCUUUUGAAAUAGGAGAGUGUUUACAUCAUUUACUCGUGUCAGAGGCGUCAUUAGGCAAUGGCACAGGGGGGCCUGAAUCUUUUAAGCACCUAUAGCGACGCCUCUGACUCGUGUUUUAAUAUUUUACAAAACGUAUCGAAUACUCACCUAAUGUAAGAAAUUUUGCUUAAUUUCAUAUAAAAUACCUAAGAAAAUUAAAAGUUGUUUGUUUAUAUAUGUGUGUGUAUUUUUAAUAAUUUUUUUCAGUACUUUCUUUUAUGA
This 683-nucleotide unclassified non-coding RNA is filed under the name Limulus polyphemus (Atlantic horseshoe crab). RNAcentral's name for it is "elafin-like, transcript variant X1". The record is from RNAcentral. Lineage: Eukaryota; Metazoa; Arthropoda; Merostomata; Xiphosura; Limulidae.